GGCAGGCCGCUCCUGCCGCCAUUUUGGAGCGAGCGAGCGAGCGAGCCUGUGGUGGCCGAGCCCUCAGCCCCGGCGCUCGGUGACAGCGCAGCCCGGCCGGGGAGCGAGCCGCUGCCAGGCCCGGGGACGUGUCCCAUGUCCGCGGCCUUGCCGGCCUCUGCAGCGCAGGGAGCAGCGGGAGCGGAGCUGCGGGCCCGCCGCCGGGGAAGGCCGGGCCCGGAGCAGGAAAAAGAGACUGGAGCAAAACUUCACAUUGAAAGAAAGCUCUUUUUUUUUUCUUUUUUCUUUUCUUUUUUUUUUUUUUUUAAGAUGAAUAUACCCCAGGAACUGUAACCCAAAUGUUUCUCUGUCCGUGGAGAAGAUUUCAUUUUUGAAACAAGAUUUCUACGGAAGCUGGGUGAGUUCCAUCAUCAUGUUCUGGAAGUUUGAUUUAAACACAUCAUCACAUGUGGACAAGCUGCUGGAUAAGGAGGAUGUGACACUGCACGAGCUGAUGGAUGAAGAUGACAUCCUACAGGAGUGCAAGGCACAGAACCGCAAACUGCUGGACUUCAUCUGCCAGCAGCACUGCAUGGAGGAGCUGGUUAGCCUCAUCACACAUGAGCCCCCCGUGGACAUGGACGAGAAGGUCCGCUUCAAAUAUCCGAAUACAGCCUGUGAACUCCUGACCUCUGAUGUGCCACAGAUCAACGACAAACUAGGAGGGGAUGAAACUUUAUUGAACAUCCUGUAUGACUUCUUGAAUCACGAGCCGCCUUUGAACCCUUUGCUUGCCAGUUUCUUCAGCAAGACUAUUGGGAAUCUCAUUGCAAGAAAAACUGAACAGGUGAUUGCAUUUUUGAGAAAUAAAGACCAAUUUAUUAGCCUGGUACUAAAGCAUAUUGAUACAUCUGCAAUGAUGGACCUGCUGCUUCGUCUGAUCAGCUGCGUGGAACCAGCACCUCUACGUCAGGAAGUAUUAAAUUGGCUUAAUGAAGCAAAAGUAAUUCAGAGACUUGUGGAGCUGAUCCAUUCGAGCCAGGAUGAGGAUAGGCAAUCAAAUGCUUCCCAGACCUUGUGUGAUAUCAUAAGACUGAGCAGAGACCAGGGCAACCAGCUACAGGAGAUAUCUGAGCCUGAUCCGCUUCUCACAGCACUGGAAUCGCAGGAAUGCGUGGAACAGCUUUUGAAAAACAUGUUUGAUGGAGACCAGACUGAAAACUGCAUAGUGAAUGGAACUCAGAUUUUAUUAACGUUAUUGGAGACAAGGCGCUCUGGAGUGGAGGGACUAAUGGACUCAUUCUCUCAGGGAUUUGAAAGGUCUUACACUGUCAAUAGCAGCAUCUUACAUGGUAUUGAACCACGGCUAAAGGAUUUUCACCAGCUUCUACUCAAUCCCCCCAAGAAAAUGUCAAUCCUGACUACAAUUGGUGUCUUGGAGGAGCCACUGGGGAAUGCUCGUCUUCAUGGAGCUCGACUAAUAGCGGCUCUGCUUCACACAAACACACCCAGUAUUAACUAUGAACUAUGCAGACUCAAUACCAUGGAUUUAUUACUUGACUUAUUUUUUAAAUACACAUGGAAUAACUUUUUGCACUUCCAAGUGGAACUGUGCAUAGCAGCUAUUCUCUCGCACUCUGUGCACGAAGGGAAAUCAGCAACAAAUGAUCUGGAAAAUAAAGAGGAGGUGCUGAAUGGGAAUGUGACCACAGAGAACUUGAAGACUCCAGACCACAGUCCAGAGAAUAUUAUGGUGACACAUUUGUUCCAGAAUUGCUGCCUGUUGCAAAGGAUAUUGGAUGCCUGGGAAGUCAAUGACAAAAUACAGGCAGAAGGUGGAAUGAGGCGAGGGAAUAUGGGCCACCUUACCCGAAUAGCCAAUGCUGUGGUACAGAAUAUGGAGAAGGGCCCCAUGCAGAUCCAGAUCAGUGAAUUCAUUAAAGAGCUACCUGAGGAUUGCAGAGGGAGGUGGGAGAGCUUUGUAGAAGAGACAUUGAGAGAGACAAACCGGAAGAAUACAGUGGAUUUGGUGAGCACCCACCAUCUGCAUUCAUCCAGUGAGGACGAGGACAUUGAGAGCGCUUUUCCCAAUGAACUCUCCCUCCAACAGGCAUUCUCAGAGUACCAAAUCCAACAGAUGACAGCCAACUUUGUGGAUCAGUUUGGCUUCAAUGACGAAGAGUUUGCAGACCAGGAUGACAAUAUCAAUGCACCUUUUGACAGGAUUGCAGAGAUAAACUUCAACAUAGAUGCGGAUGAUGACAGUCCAAAUGCAUCCCUCUUUGAGGCCUGCUGCAAUGAACGGAUCCAACAAUUUGAUGAUAAAGAGGAGGAGGAAGAUAUCUGGGAGGAGAAGGAAAUAACCUAUGCAACCCAAGUCAAAUCAAGAACACGGUUUGGAGUGUCUCAGACCUCAGAGAGUUCCUCAAAAAGUGAUCUAGAGAAUGGGGAUCGUGAUGGCAGUGUGGACUCAGAAGAAGAGGAGGAAACAGAAGAACAAACAACACCUGUCACCGAGAACACCAACAAGAAUAAUCCUUCUGAGCAGAAAGACACUAACUCUACUGAAGGAUCUGGGUGGACAGCUGUGUUUGAGCCUGUGAAUUCAAAACCCCCGGUACCCUGUGUUGCCAUGGAUGUUGGAUCAAGUGUAUGGGAUUCAGCAGCACCAGAGACAGCCACUCCUGAGGAGAAAGGAUGGGCAAAAUUUACAGACUUUCAACCUUUUUGUUGCUCCGAAUCAGGUCCCAGAUGUAGUUCUCCUGUGGAUACAGAAAGCAGUGACUCAGAGGGAAACCCCAAGCAGGGUCAGGACAAGAACUUCAGUGCUGCCUCACCCUGUGUUUGGAAUGUCUGUGUGGCAAGGAAGGCACCUCUGGUGGCUUCAGACAGCAGCUCAUCUGGAGGCUCAGACAGUGAGGAAGAGGAGGAUAAAGCUGAUAUCGUCACAGAAACCAUCAGUACAGGCUCGGGCCAGGAAACCAUCAAACUCACCAUGGAUGCUAAGAACGAGAAGGCUGUGUUCACCAGAAUAUUUAGACCUUCAGUCAGAGGUGAUGCAGACUGCCUGGUUAUUGACAAGCUGACCAUCACAGACAUGGGAACGACAAAGGUGUCCAAACCACUAAACAGCAUGCCCCAGCAUUCUGAGGAGCUCCAGAACGCUGCAGCUGUCGGCAUGGCUGCCACAGAAAGCACAACAAAAGACAGGAGAAAACCCAGCUUUCAAGUAGUUCUACUCCACUAGCGCAGCCAUCAGCCAAUCGGAUUGUACAGUAUCCAGUGAAUUUUAUAUGAGUGCACACUUGAGAACCAGGAGCAUAUGGCUUCUAAUCCUUGUUUUGACUUUUGGCCUUGGACAGCUUUACUGCAAGUUCUCCAUAUGUAAAAUGGGGCAGUCCAGUGCCAUACAAGUGCUUAGUUAUUAAUGUUGUGGUCAUGGCUAUUGAAAAAACUAUAUGCUGGAAGGAUGGCUUCAGCGUCACAGAAAAGGAAAGAGGAGGUCUUGCCAUGUGCUGAAGCCACAUUAAACGGCCCUGCUUGAUGAAGCAAAUGCAAUGGGACAUGUCUGAUCCAGGCCAGGCUGCUACCUGGUGAUGCAAUUUGUCAGUUUUUUUCAUUUUAAUUUUAUUUUUUAAUAAAUGCUGCAUUGAUGAGAGAGCUGGCAUUCAGGACCAGACACACGAUUUCAACACCAACAAUCUGUUCCGGAAGACACUUGUUUUGUCUAAAUGUAGCAUUGAUCAGUUAGUCAUCACAGGAAUGACUCGGCCCUACCCAAGGAAGCCUUCUGCCUAAUUUUAGUACCUUGUCCCCCUCUCUCUGCUUCCCUUGUUUUUGUUUUCUCUUUGGGGUUCAAUCCUAUUUUCUUAGUGUUAUUGCACACAGUAUUCAGCUUCUCUUCAGAAAGGUAGCAGGUCUAACGCUGGGACUUGGACGGUGCGCAAUAAGUCCUGCAGUCGUGUGACCAAAGUUCCUGAUGGAGCUGUCUUUGGGCAGCAUUUGCACCGCUUUUGUAUAGCAAUAAAGCCUUAUCAGAAACAUUUCAUAGGAGGUAAAGAUAAAACAAACACUUUAAAUGGGAU
RNA transcript from Mauremys reevesii (Reeves's turtle), 4064 nucleotides. It is a transcript of the gene named protein phosphatase 6 regulatory subunit 2, with no coding region annotated. Lineage: Eukaryota; Metazoa; Chordata; Testudines; Geoemydidae. The record is from RefSeq and is a predicted model, not a curated record. The transcript is spliced from 26 exons.